RNAcentral lists this ribosomal RNA (404 nucleotides) under uncultured bacterium. RNAcentral's name for it is "bacterial SSU rRNA". It matches the Rfam family "Bacterial small subunit ribosomal RNA", at positions 355 to 776 of the family's 1533-position model. The record is from RNAcentral.
UGGGGAAUAUUGCACAAUGGGGGAAACCCUGAUGCAGCGACGCCGCGUGGAGGAAGAAGGUCUUCGGAUUGUAAACUCCUGUCGUUGAGGACGAAGAUGACGGUACUCAACAAGAAAGCCACGGCUAACUACGUGCCAGCAGCCGCGGUAAAACGUAGGUGGCAAGCGUUGUCCGGAAUUACUGGGUGUAAAGGGAGCGCAGGCGGAGGGACAAGUUGGAUGUGAAACCCAUGGGCUCAACCCAUGGCCUGCAUCCAAAACUGUAACUCUUGAGUAGUGUAGAGGUAGGCGGAAUUCCCGGUGUAGCGGUGGAAUGCGUAGAUAUCGGGAGGAACACCAGUGGCGAAGGCGGCCUACUGGGCACCAACUGACGCUGAGGCUCGAAAGCAUGGGUAGCAAACAGG